CACGGCGCACGGGUGCGUAACACGUGGGUAAUCUGCCCUCCGAUGGGGAAUAACCCCGCGAAAGCGGGGCUAAUACCGCAUAACAUUCCUUGGACUCCGGUUUGAGGACUCAAAGCCGCAAGGCGUCGAAGGUGGAGCCCGCGCACGAUUAGCUAGUUGGUAGGGUAACGGCCUACCAAGGCUAUGAUCGUUAGCUGGUCUGAGAGGAUGGCCAGCCACACUGGAACUGAGACACGAUCCAGACUCCUACGGGAGGCAGCAGUGGGGAAUCUUGCGCAAUGGGCGAAAGCCUGACGCAGCGACGCCGCGUGGGGGAUGAAGCUUCUCGGAGUGUAAACCCCUUUCGACCGGGACGAAUGCCCGCAAGGGAGUGACGGUACCGGUAUAAGAAGCCCCGGCUAACUACGUGCCAGCAGCCGCGGUAAGACGUAGGGGGCCAGCGUUGUUCGGAAUUACUGGGUGUAAAGGGUUCGUAGGCGGUGUGGCAAGUCGGGAGUGAAAUCUCUGGGCUCAACUCAGGGGCUGCUUCCGAAACUGCCGUGCUAGAGUGUGGGGGAGGCGCGUGGAAUUGCAGGUGUAGCGGUGAAAUGCGUAGAUAUCUGCAGGAACACCCGUGGCGAAAGCGGCGCGCUGGACCACUACUGACGCUGAGGAACGAAAGCUAGGGGAGCAAACAGGAUUAGAUACCCUGGUAGUCCUAGCCCUAAACGAUCAGGACUUGGGGUGCCACCCGUUCGGGUGUCGUCCCGGAGCUAACGCGUUAAGUCCUGCACCUGGGGAGUACGGUCGCAAGACUGAAACUCAAAGGAAUUGACGGGGGCCCGCACAAGCGGUGGAACAUGUGGUUCAAUUCGA
Molecule: ribosomal RNA, 855 nt
Filed under: uncultured bacterium
Lineage: Bacteria
Description: bacterial SSU rRNA
Rfam family: Bacterial small subunit ribosomal RNA
Source: RNAcentral